Molecule: signal recognition particle RNA, 97 nt
Filed under: Halochromatium sp.
Lineage: Bacteria; Pseudomonadati; Pseudomonadota; Gammaproteobacteria; Chromatiales; Chromatiaceae
Description: signal recognition particle sRNA small type
Rfam family: Bacterial small signal recognition particle RNA
About the family: The signal recognition particle (SRP) is a universally conserved ribonucleoprotein involved in the co-translational targeting of proteins to membranes. Archaeal SRP consists of a 7S RNA and homologues of the eukaryotic SRP19 and SRP54 proteins.
Source: RNAcentral
CGUCGGUCCCCUCGCAACGUGAAGCCGUGAACCCGGUCAGGCCCGGAAGGGAGCAGCCGCAGCGGUGGAUGUGUGUGCCGGGGUGUGGCUGGCGCGG